GGAGAGGUGGCUCAGCGGUUAAGAGCACUGACUGCUCUUCCAGAGGAUCUGAGUUCAAUUCCCAGCAACUACA
RNAcentral lists this transfer RNA (73 nucleotides) under Mus musculus (house mouse). It matches the Rfam family "tRNA". From Rfam's summary of the family: Transfer RNA (tRNA) molecules are approximately 80 nucleotides in length. Lineage: Eukaryota; Metazoa; Chordata; Mammalia; Rodentia; Muridae. The record is from Rfam by way of RNAcentral.